AGUAAGGUCAGUUAAUAUAAGCUCUUGGGCCCAUGCCCCAACAAUGUAGGUUCAACCCCUUCCCUUACUG
This 70-nucleotide transfer RNA is filed under the name Sillago parvisquamis (small-scale sillago). RNAcentral's name for it is "tRNA-Met". It matches the Rfam family "tRNA". From Rfam's summary of the family: Transfer RNA (tRNA) molecules are approximately 80 nucleotides in length. Their secondary structure includes four short double-helical elements and three loops (D, anti-codon, and T loops). The record is from RNAcentral. Lineage: Eukaryota; Metazoa; Chordata; Actinopteri; Sillaginidae.